UGGGGAAUAUUGGACAAUGGGCGCAAGCCUGAUCCAGCAAUGCCGCGUGUGUGAAGAAGGCCUGCGGGUUGUAAAGCACUUUAAGCAGGAAAGAAGGGUGGGGUGUUAAUACCAUCUCACAUUGACGUUACCUGCAGAAUAAGCACCGGCUAACUCCGUGCCAGCAGCCGCGGUAAUACGGAGGGUGCGAGCGUUAAUCGGAAUUACUGGGCGUAAAGCGUGCGUAGGCGGUUGGAUAAGUCUGAUGUGAAAGCCCUGGGCUUAACCUGGGAAUGGCAUUGGAUACUGUCGGACUGGAGUGUGGUAGAGGGUAGUGGAAUUUCCGGUGUAGCAGUGAAAUGCGUAGAGAUCGGAAGGAACACCAGUGGCGAAGGCGGCUACCUGGACCAACACUGACGCUGAGGUACGAAAGCGUGGGGAGCAAACAG
This 428-nucleotide ribosomal RNA is filed under the name uncultured bacterium. RNAcentral describes it as "bacterial SSU rRNA". It matches the Rfam family "Bacterial small subunit ribosomal RNA", at positions 355 to 775 of the family's 1533-position model. The record is from RNAcentral.